This 524-nucleotide unclassified non-coding RNA is filed under the name Hevea brasiliensis (rubber tree). Lineage: Eukaryota; Viridiplantae; Streptophyta; Magnoliopsida; Malpighiales; Euphorbiaceae. The record is from RNAcentral.
CUUUCUUAACAACCCCAUUUAGAUCACAUUUCAAACGCCUUCAGACUGGUGGUCCUGUAGCUGCUUCCAAAUGGCUUUACGCUCCCUUCUUUUGGUGGCAAUCUUUCUUUUCUGCAUAGCACAGGUUUCAUCUGACGUCGAGAUUGAAGAGCAAAGCACCCAGCUGGUGAAAGGAGCUAACAGAAGGCUCUUGCCAUUCGUGGAUUGUGGAGGGUUGUGCAAGGUGAGGUGUAGUUUGCACUCGAGGCCUAAUGUUUGCACAAGGGCAUGUGGCACCUGUUGCUUUAGGUGCAAGUGCGUGCCUCCAGGCACCUCUGGAAAUAGAGAACUGUGUGGGAAAUGUUACACUGACAUGACUACUCAUGGGAACAAGACUAAGUGCCCUUAGAAUGGCAUUGGCACCUAUAUCUUAUAUAGUGUAUACUAUAGGAACUUCUCUUUUGUUAACGUGCUAUUAUAUAAUAACCAGUUGGGUUUAUGGAUGUUCUGUUGUGCAAUGUUAAUGUAAGGAAGCUUCUCGAUGC